Molecule: long non-coding RNA, 701 nt
Organism: Aedes aegypti (yellow fever mosquito)
Lineage: Eukaryota; Metazoa; Arthropoda; Insecta; Diptera; Culicidae
Exons: 3
Source: RefSeq, a predicted model, not a curated record
AUAUUACUUAUUUCUAACAGUUCGAGAAACAGUUGUGGUCGUCAGUAUUUGUGAACUUUUUGAAGCGUGCGUGGUUUUGUUUACUUUGUGAAAACGCGUGUGGAUUUUUUUUGAAGAGAACAGAAAAAAGUGGCCAAGGAUCCUGCUGUUCCUAGGUGAACCGUCAACAGCCACCAGCUCAUAAGAGUGCGCAACUAAAUUGGAAAACAGAACCAGCAUUUCCCGUAUUUGACCACCGCAGAUCACUGUCUUCGUCAAACCCGCAGUGAUAAAACCUCUGAAAUAGGUUCCACAGACUGUUCCAGAUGAACGGAUUUGGCUGUAAUCGUGAUGGUACGCAAGAGAUACAUAGAAGCUAGACGUUGGCGACGGCAGAGAUGGGGUUGUUUGAUUUAAAUCCUGUGCUUCUACCAUUGCAUUACUCCCUGUAAAGCGAACCAAAUGAUUAAGAAGCAAACAGAGUAAAGAAUGUGAAAUUGUCGAAAAUGCCACAUAAUAGUCCUUCGGAUUUUGCUGCUUCUAGCUCUGUGCUAAUACUAUUCCUAAAAGUGCUGAACUAUUAUAGUAUAAUACUAUUACUAAAUUUAAGUUUAUUAGAUAAUGUGAUAAGUUUAAAAUGACAAAGAAAAAUAUAAAAAAUAUGUUUAUCUAGAUUUUAUUUCUUUAUAGUAUCAACACAACACAACGGUGAGCAACGCACC